Molecule: long non-coding RNA, 1577 nt
Organism: Danio rerio (zebrafish)
Lineage: Eukaryota; Metazoa; Chordata; Actinopteri; Cypriniformes; Danionidae
Source: Ensembl
CGCAAGAGGGCAAUAUUACGUCGAUAGUGUUUGUAUUCAAGAAAUUUCGUCGAGUGCGGCCUUUAAGCUAACACCAAAUUACAAAUAAGUAAAAAAAAUGGCUGUGUUGUAUCAUUGCGCAGUUGAUCUUGUAGAAAAAGUAUUUUAUGGAAGACAUUUUCUAAACGGACAUUGAACUGCGUUUGGGACAUGAUGAGAGGCGGUCAUAAUGGUUCUUUUGGACAACCAAGUUGAUCAGAACUGGCACUGAGUCUCAGAUUUCCCCUCUGAGCGUAACACCUUGAGAGCCAACAGCCACUUUAAUAAAUCCAACUGGAACGCACCAAUGUAGUGGGGGAAGAAAAGAACCAGCGACAAAAAAGCAAGUGAAGACAAACCCCAGCUGAUGCUUAGGACAAAGACGGCAGAUGCUCCCUCAUUCAUAGUGUCCAGGUCCAUCUGCCCUUGUUUGAUGAGGCCAGUAUAACGGUGGGAAAGGAAAUGGAAAUUUGGGACAAAGCCCCCUUUUUUUCCAGGGGGACUAAUAUGUUGUGUGUCAACAUCAAGGCUUCGUUCACAGCGUUGUCUCUAUCUCAGGCAAUUGCACCCAUGGUGCAGUGCCUGAUAACAGGGCCCCAUGACGCAGCUCCAUAAUGAAGGCCAUUUCGACCACUCAUCCUGUGCUAAAUGGCUGUAUUACUGUGAUGGUCAUCAGUCCAGGAUUUGUUUGCACAAUGGUCAACACCGCUGCACUAACAUUCAUUAGCCGAGCAUUCAUAAACAUAUUUUAUUGCCACUUUUGGGAGAAAAUACUGGGUGAAAACAUAAAAAAGUAAAUAUUAGUAUGUUUUAAUAAUCAGAUUUUUUUUCCCUUUUACACAUUUGCCACUAUUUUCUAGCGAACAUGAAAUUCAUAGGAUUUUGGAUUUGUAGAAUGUAGGAACUUCCAUUUAUUUUUUCUUUUUGCUUGAAUAAGUUGUGACUCAAUUGUUGCUGUUUUGCAACCAUAUUAUUGCAAUAUUUAGAUUUUAAUGUAAGCAUCUACAGGGGCAGACUUAAACAAUAAGGAAGGUACGCAACCACUUAGGACCCCGACCAUUGCCAAGAAGCCUAAAUUAAUCAUAGCCCCUUUAUAAACUUUCUAUCAUGUGUUGUAAAUUCUGUCUAUAACUGUUAAGAUUUUAAUGUAAUCCUUUUCAAAACUAUGGACCCCAAUGAACAGUGGAACGUUCCUUCUGUACUGCACAUGCAAAUAUUAAAAUCCAAACACAAAUAUGGCCAAUUAGCUGUAUUUAAAUAGUUAACAAGUAACAAUUUACAUAGUUAGUUUGUGAACUUGUGAAUUUAUUGUAUUUAAUUUUACAUUGAGAAGAUAAAGGCUCCACUUAGUUAAAAAAAAAACAGAAUACAGGGAAAAAAAAUAUCUACAGAGAAAGAGUGUUUUGAGUUUCAAUGCUUGGGCCCCAUACCUUGAGUUGCUUAGGGCCCCCCAAGUCCAAGUGGUAAAGUCCACCCCUGAGCAUCUAGAAGGCAUACAGUUCAUUUAAAUGUUUUGUAAUUGUAUACACUCUCAGAAAUAAAGGUACGUGAGCUGCCAC